This 650-nucleotide ribosomal RNA is filed under the name Salmonella enterica subsp. enterica serovar Anatum. Its description in RNAcentral is "bacterial SSU rRNA". It matches the Rfam family "Bacterial small subunit ribosomal RNA", at positions 893 to 1533 of the family's 1533-position model. Lineage: Bacteria; Pseudomonadati; Pseudomonadota; Gammaproteobacteria; Enterobacterales; Enterobacteriaceae. The record is from RNAcentral.
GUUAAAACUCAAAUGAAUUGACGGGGGCCCGCACAAGCGGUGGAGCAUGUGGUUUAAUUCGAUGCAACGCGAAGAACCUUACCUGGUCUUGACAUCCACAGAAGAAUCCAGAGAUGGAUUUGUGCCUUCGGGAACUGUGAGACAGGUGCUGCAUGGCUGUCGUCAGCUCGUGUUGUGAAAUGUUGGGUUAAGUCCCGCAACGAGCGCAACCCUUAUCCUUUGUUGCCAGCGAUUAGGUCGGGAACUCAAAGGAGACUGCCAGUGAUAAACUGGAGGAAGGUGGGGAUGACGUCAAGUCAUCAUGGCCCUUACGACCAGGGCUACACACGUGCUACAAUGGCGCAUACAAAGAGAAGCGACCUCGCGAGAGCAAGCGGACCUCAUAAAGUGCGUCGUAGUCCGGAUUGGAGUCUGCAACUCGACUCCAUGAAGUCGGAAUCGCUAGUAAUCGUGGAUCAGAAUGCCACGGUGAAUACGUUCCCGGGCCUUGUACACACCGCCCGUCACACCAUGGGAGUGGGUUGCAAAAGAAGUAGGUAGCUUAACCUUCGGGAGGGCGCUUACCACUUUGUGAUUCAUGACUGGGGUGAAGUCGUAACAAGGUAACCGUAGGGGAACCUGCGGUUGGAUCACCUCCUUACCUUAAAGAA